RNAcentral lists this ribosomal RNA (502 nucleotides) under uncultured Glomeromycotina. Its description in RNAcentral is "partial small subunit ribosomal RNA". It matches the Rfam family "Eukaryotic small subunit ribosomal RNA", at positions 591 to 1092 of the family's 1831-position model. The record is from RNAcentral. Lineage: Eukaryota; Fungi; Glomeromycota.
CCAAUAGCGUAUAUUAAAGUUGUUGCAGUUAAAAAGCUCGUAGUUGAAUUUCGGGGUUUGUCAGUUGGUCGGGCUUCACUGUCCGUACUGACUUGAUGAGUUCCUACCUUCUGAAUAACCAGCAUGCUAUUUAGUUAGUGCGUUGGGGAAGCAGAUCUAUUACCUUGAAAAAAUUAGAGUGCUUAAAGCGGGCUUGUGCUUGAAUAGAUUAGCAUGGAAUAAUAAAAUAGGACGGCAUGGUUCUAUUUUGUUGGUUUCUAGGAUCAACGUAAUGAUUAAUAGGGAUAGUUGGGGGCAUUAGUAUUCAAUUGUCAGAGGUGAAAUUCUUGGAUUUAUUGAAGACUAACUUCUGCGAAAGCAUUUGCCAAGGAUGUUUUCAUUAAUCAAGAACGAAAGUUAGGGGAUCGAAGACGAUCAGAUACCGUCGUAGUCUUAACCAUAAACUAUGCCGACUAGGAAUCGGACGAAGUUAAUUUUUUAAUGACUCGUUCGGCACCUUACG